UACGUAGGGGGCGAGCGUUGUCCGGAAUUACUGGGUGUAAAGGGCGUGUAGGCGGGGAUGCAAGUCAGAUGUGAAAUACCGAGGCUUAACCUCGGGGCUGCAUCUGAAACUGUGUUUCUUGAGUGUCGGAGAGGAAAGCGGAAUUCCUGGUGUAGCGGUGAAAUGCGUAGAGAUCAGGAGGAACACCGGUGGCGAAGGCGGCUUUCUGGACGACAACUGACGCUGAGGCGCGAAAGCGUGGGGAGCAAACAGG
Molecule: ribosomal RNA, 253 nt
Filed under: uncultured bacterium
Lineage: Bacteria
Description: partial 16S ribosomal RNA
Rfam family: Bacterial small subunit ribosomal RNA
Source: RNAcentral